This 522-nucleotide ribosomal RNA is filed under the name uncultured Glomus. Its description in RNAcentral is "SSU rRNA". It matches the Rfam family "Eukaryotic small subunit ribosomal RNA", at positions 569 to 1092 of the family's 1831-position model. The record is from RNAcentral. Lineage: Eukaryota; Fungi; Glomeromycota; Glomeromycetes; Glomerales; Glomeraceae.
AGCAGCCGCGGUAAUUCCAGCUCCAAUAGCGUAUAUUAAAGUUGUUGCAGUUAAAAAGCUCGUAGUUGAAUUUCGGGGUCAGUAGGCUGGUCGUGCCACGGGUAUGUACUGGUCUUACUGAUUCCUCCUUCCUGAUGAACCGUAAUGCCAUUAAUUUGGUGUUGCGGGGAAUCUGGACUGUUACUUUGAAAAAAUUAGAGUGUUUAAAGCAGGCUAACGCUUGAAUACAUUAGCAUGGAAUAAUGAAAUAGGACGAUCGAUCCUAUUUUGUUGGUUUCUAGGAUUGACGUAAUGAUUAAUAGGGAUAGUUGGGGGCAUUAGUAUUCAAUUGUCAGAGGUGAAAUUCUUGGAUUUAUUGAAGACUAACUACUGCGAAAGCAUUUGCCAAGGAUGUUUUCAUUAAUCAAGAACGAAAGUUAGGGGAUCGAAGACGAUUAGAUACCGUCGUAGUCUUAACCAUAAACUAUGCCGACUAGGGAUCGGAUGAUGUUAAUUUUUUAAUGACUCAUUCGGCGCCUUACG